Non-coding RNA from Camelina sativa (false flax), 1719 nucleotides. The record is from RefSeq and is a predicted model, not a curated record. NCBI's taxonomy places the organism in Eukaryota, Viridiplantae, Streptophyta, Magnoliopsida, Brassicales, Brassicaceae.
CCAACACUUAGGAAAAAAAAUGUAACAUUUCCCUUUGUUAUACUGUUUGGACUUUGGAGACGGACAAACAAAAAAAAAGCUUAGACCCGAAAAACAACACUUCGCAGAUCUCUCUCCUCUCUUUCACCAUUUUCGCCGCCGUAACCUACGAUUCGCCUUAUCCAUUCUACGCCAUGGUCUUCUCAUCUCUCCGGGCCGCCAACACUUCCUCCGGCCACUGAAUCACCGUCGGAAGCUUCCUCGAUGAUUAAAACAACCGCAUCGACAUCUUCUCUUUCGAUUCCGAUUCGAUGACCGUGAAGCCUCUCUCGAAUCUCUCGUUCGAGCAUCCUUAUCUUCCAACGAAGCUAAUGUUCAGUCAUUCUUCUCUCUGUUAUCCUUCAUUCGGAGAUCUACUUGAUUCUUCUACCAUUGAGCAUUGAGCCUAUCUCAGUUCUCAACAAUAGCAAAACGAGCCUACUCUUCAGUGAGUUGUCUUAUGUGUCUCUUGUCUAUAUUUGUCCUUUUUAUGUCUCUUACCAACCUAGAACCUGAGUAGAUAUAACCUGUGAGAUUCUUAUUUACUCGUUUCUGUAUGGAAUGUGCUUGUGGCUAGUGAAUGCUAUUUGAUAUAUCCGGUCAUCUUUGUAGAAGAAAUUGUUUUUUAUAUUUUUUCUAUUGUUGAGAUAUCUCGAUCUCCAAUCUCAUAUUGAAAUUUUUAUCAAAUCAUGUGUUUCUAAUAACUGAUAAUCUGAAUUCAUUGGAUGUUGGAACAGAACAUUCAUAAUUGGUCCUUGUUGCAAAUAGUGUAUCUGAUUUUAACGAGAAGAGGCAAAUUAAACAUUAAUUUUUGCUCCUUGUUAAACUUUUCUUAGAUUGGCAAGUAAGAAAAAUUUGCAGGUCUGCUAAAGCUUUGUAGUUUAGCUGUGCUUGUUUGUUUUUAGCUGCUAAAGUUGAAGAGAUAUUCGUUUCUCUCUCCGCAACCACUAGAAGAGUCUAAGCCUCUCUCACAUGCGUCAAGAGAAGACAUAACAUUCCAUGUGCGUUGAUGAGCAGCUCCACUGUCCUAAAAGCUGGAAUCAAUCACAAAGUUAUUAACUUUAUAGUCUCUUAUUUGUAAUGUCCAUUUCCUCUUCUAAACACACCACUUUAAAUUUCAUUUGACCUAUGAGUUUUAUGAAUGAUGUAACCUAAACACAACAACGAUAUUGCUCCCCCAUGAAGUUGCUACUUUUGGGACUGUAAGUCAUCCUGUAUUAUCGUGAGGCUGAGUUUCUAAUAAACUUGAGAUGGUGAGUAUUGAUGGCUGCAAGAAAGGUAUCUAACUUCUCUCAAUGCGGUCUGAUGUUCUUGAUGUUUACUUGUUUAAUUAUUGGUCAAAUUUCUAGUGAUAUUGUUCUUAUACUAGAGGCUAAAGUUUUGAAAAUUUCUGUUGGUCAAGUUCAGCUUAUUUCAGUUUCCAUUGGGUGGUAUUCACAGGCAACUCAAGUGCACACGGUAGAGUUGGUGCCACCGCUGCCGUUUGCUGAUUCAAUCCUUGAGUUUGUGACUGCAGAGGUUCUUGAGUUAGCUGGAAACGCUAGCAGAUAUCUGAAAGUGAAGAGUAUAACUCCAUGGCAUUUGCAGUUGGCCAUGAGAGGAUGUGGGAAUGAUAAGUUUAGGACAUGAUUCUGUCCACUAACACAUAGGAAUGAUAAGUUUAGGACAUGAUUCUGGUCAUGAAUCAUUUUUGUUUUCUCA